AGAGUUUGAUCCUGGCUCAGAGUGAACGCUGGCGGCAGGCCUAACACAUGCAAGUCGAACGGCAGCGCGGGGAGCUUGCUCCCUGGCGGCGAGUGGCGGACGGGUGAGGAAUGCAUCGGAAUCUGCCCAUUUGUGGGGGAUAACCUCGGGAAACCGGGACUAAUACCGCAUACGACCUUCGGGUGAAAGCAGGGGACCUUCGGGCCUUGCGCAGAUGGAUGAGCCGAUGUCGGAUUAGCUAGUUGGUGGGGUAAAGGCCUACCAAGGUGACGAUCCGUAGCUGGUCUGAGAGGAUGAUCAGCCACACCGGGACUGAGACACGGCCCGGACUCCUACGGGAGGCAGCAGUGGGGAAUAUUGGACAAUGGGCGAAAGCCUGAUCCAGCCAUGCCGCGUGGGUGAAGAAGGCCUUCGGGUUGUAAAGCCCUUUUGUUGGGAAAGAAAAACAUCCGGCUAAUACCCGGAUGGAAUGACGGUACCCAAAGAGUAAGCACCGGCUAACUUCGUGCCAGCAGCCGCGGUAAUACGAAGGGUGCAAGCGUUACUCGGAAUUACUGGGCGUAAAGGGUGCGUAGGUGGUUCGUUAAGUCUGAUGUGAAAGCCCUGGGCUCAACCUGGGAAUUGCAUUGGAUACUGGCGGGCUGGAGUGCGGUAGAGGGUAGUGGAAUUCCCGGUGUAGCAGUGAAAUGCGUAGAUAUCGGGAGGAACAUCCGUGGCGAAGGCGACCGCCUGGACCAGCACUGACACUGAGGCACGAAAGCGUGGGGAGCAAACAGGAUUAGAUACCCUGGUAGUCCACGCCCUAAACGAUGCGAACUGGAUGUUGGGAGCAAUCAGGCUCUCAGUGUCGAAGCUAACGCGUUAAGUUCGCCGCCUGGGGAGUACGGUCGCAAGACUGAAACUCAAAGGAAUUGACGG
RNAcentral lists this ribosomal RNA (918 nucleotides) under uncultured bacterium. Its description in RNAcentral is "bacterial SSU rRNA". It matches the Rfam family "Bacterial small subunit ribosomal RNA", at positions 8 to 916 of the family's 1533-position model. The record is from RNAcentral.